Molecule: ribosomal RNA, 506 nt
Filed under: uncultured bacterium
Lineage: Bacteria
Description: partial 16S ribosomal RNA
Rfam family: Bacterial small subunit ribosomal RNA
Source: RNAcentral
AGUGAACGCUGGCGGUAGGCCUAACACAUGCAAGUCGAACGGCAGCACAGGAGAGCUUGCUCUCUGGGUGGCGAGUGGCGGACGGGUGAGGAAUACAUCGGAAUCUACUCUGUCGUGGGGGAUAACGUAGGGAAACUUACGCUAAUACCGCAUACGACCUACGGGUGAAAGCAGGGGACCUUCGGGCCUUGCGCGAUUGAAUGAGCCGAUGUCGGAUUAGCUAGUUGGCGGGGUAAAGGCCCACCAAGGCGACGAGCCGUAGCUGGUCUGAGAGGAUGAUCAGCCACACGGGAACAGGAACCAGGUCCAGACUCCUACGGGAGGCAGCAGUGGGGAAUAUUGGACAAUGGGCGCAAGCCUGAUCCAGCCAUACCGCGUGGGUGAAGAAGGCCUUCGGGUUGUAAAGCCCUUUUGUUGGGAAAGAGAUCCAGCUGGCUAAUACCCGGUUGGGAUGACGGUACCCAAAGAAUAAGCACCGGCUAACUUCGUGCCAGCCGCCGCAGUAA